This 1061-nucleotide long non-coding RNA is filed under the name Citrus sinensis (sweet orange). RNAcentral describes it as "long non-coding RNA (CSIN_LNC002981)". Lineage: Eukaryota; Viridiplantae; Streptophyta; Magnoliopsida; Sapindales; Rutaceae. The record is from RNAcentral.
UAUUAUUAAAGCAAUUUAUUUAUUUAUUUAUUUAUUUUACCUACUGAGGUAAGAGUGAGGCCAUACACAAAAACAGGGUAUCAAAGUACAGCCAUUCAUCGAGACAGCCUUUCAAAGCCCGAUGUACAGUGAUAAUCUUGCAACUGGAUAUUAAGGGUUCCUAACUAUUAAAUCACAGCUUCCUAAAUGAUCCAUCUACCAAAAGAAAUAGCAGCUAGUCCUCUACUUUUUCGGUCUGAAUAAUAAUACACAAUGAAAACAAUUUAGUGCACUGCUACUAACACCAAUUCAAUCCUGUGGAUGCUGCCCCAAUGGUGUCUUAAGUUUUGCACAGAACCUGACAAACCUGUCAACUGUAUUGCUCACAAGAAAAUGCCAUCCCUCAGAGAACCCAGGUAUUGCCAAUGUCUUAAGCAUUUCUUUUCUCAACAUAAAAGAUGAGGUGAUGUUACAUCCAUCUCAAUGGCACAGUACCAACAGACAGCUCUAGUAACAAUAAAUGUCAACUUGAUACCAGUAUUUCUUACCAACCACUUGGCAGAUACAAAUGAAUCUUCUAAUACGGUCGUUUCAUAGGUUCAAAAGCCAAGUGAAGAAAUCACCAACCACUUGGCAGAUACAAAUGAAUCUUCUAAUACGGUCGUUUCAUAGGUUCAAAAGCCAAGUGAAGAAAUCCUGGGAUUUCCCAAAUUCUCGACUAGGAAAAGAAGUGUCUUAAUACCUGAACCAUGCUCAUCAUCAGUGACACCAGAACUAAGAUACCUCCUAUGAAUAAUCUGAGAGUAGUCGAAUUAAAAUUUUCUGUUGGCUUGGACUCGGCAAGAGGCUUGAUGGGCAGAGAAGCAAGCUAUGAAAGGAUUGUUGUAUCUGGCCAUGAGUCAUAUUCAAGCAAUCCUCAAAUGGAUUAAAAUUAUUGUGCUGGAGAGGAAUGGUUUGGAACACCGGAGUGGAUGAGCACCAGUUGUGAAGCAAGAGAGCAGUAGGCAAGUUAUUAGAGCUUUGGCAACAAUGAGUGGAUGAAACAGCAUUUGGUGAGAGAGAUGAUAGAGAGCCAUUGUUUG